GACGAACGCUGGCGGCGUGCUUAAUACAUGCAAGUCAACUGAACUUUAGGUAGCAAUAUUUAAAGGGAGGUGGCGCACGGGUGAGUAACACGUAGGUAAUCUGCCUUCAGGACUGACAUAACUCCGCGAAAGCGGGACUAAAAUCAGAUGAUGCAGCGGCUCGACAUCGAGACAGUUGUUAAACCUUCGGGGCCUGAAGAUGAGCCUGCGUCUGAUUAGGUAGUUGGAGGGGUAAUGGCCACCAAGCCUGCGAUCAGUAGCUGGUCUGAGAGGAUGAUCAGCCACACUGGAACUGAGACACGGUCCAGACUCCUACGGGAGGCAGCAGUAAGGAAUAUUGCUCAAUGGCCGAAAGGCUGAAGCAGCAACGCCGCGUGGAGGAUGAAAUACUUUAGUAUGUAAACUCCUGUAAGAGGGGAAAAAUAUACAGUUCUGCUGUAUUGAUUGUACCCUCAGAGUAAGCACCGGCUAACU
Molecule: ribosomal RNA, 474 nt
Filed under: uncultured bacterium
Lineage: Bacteria
Description: bacterial SSU rRNA
Rfam family: Bacterial small subunit ribosomal RNA
Source: RNAcentral